RNAcentral lists this ribosomal RNA (465 nucleotides) under uncultured bacterium. RNAcentral's name for it is "bacterial SSU rRNA". It matches the Rfam family "Bacterial small subunit ribosomal RNA", at positions 926 to 1391 of the family's 1533-position model. The record is from RNAcentral.
CAAGCGGUGGAGCAUGUGGUUUAAUUCGAUGCAACGCGAAGAACCUUACCUGGUCUUGACAUCCACGGAACUUUUCAGAGAUGAGAAGGUGCCUUCGGGAACUGUGAGACAGGUGCUGCAUGGCUGUCGUCAGCUCGUGUUGUGAAAUGUUGGGUUAAGUCCCGCAACGAGCGCAACCCUUAUCCUUUGUUGCCAGCGGUCCGGCCGGGAACUCAAAGGAGACUGCCAGUGAUAAACUGGAGGAAGGUGGGGAUGACGUCAAGUCAUCAUGGCCCUUACGACCAGGGCUACACACGUGCUACAAUGGCGCAUACAAAGAGAAGCGACCUCGCGAGAGCAAGCGGACCUCAUAAAGUGCGUCGUAGUCCGGAUUGGAGUCUGCAACUCGACUCCAUGAAGUCGGAAUCGCUAGUAAUCGUGGAUCAGAAUGCCACGGUGAAUACGUUCCCGGGCCUUGUACACACC